AUAGUUACCUGGCAGGGGUGAUUCCAUGAUCACGAAGGUGGUUUCCCCAGGGCGAGGCUUAUCCGUUGCACUCCGAAUGGGCUGACCGUUGCGAUUUCCCCAAAUGCGGGAAAUUUGACUGCAUAAUUUGUGGUAGUGGGGGACUGCGUUCGCGCUCUCCCCUG
RNAcentral lists this small nuclear RNA (164 nucleotides) under Phascolarctos cinereus (koala). RNAcentral's name for it is "U1 spliceosomal RNA (ENSPCIG00000034278.1)". It matches the Rfam family "U1 spliceosomal RNA". Rfam says of the family: U1 is a small nuclear RNA (snRNA) component of the spliceosome (involved in pre-mRNA splicing). Its 5' end forms complementary base pairs with the 5' splice junction, thus defining the 5' donor site of an intron. There are significant differences in sequence and secondary structure between metazoan and yeast U1 snRNAs, the latter being much longer (568 nucleotides as compared to 164 nucleotides in human). The record is from Rfam by way of RNAcentral. Lineage: Eukaryota; Metazoa; Chordata; Mammalia; Diprotodontia; Phascolarctidae.